CCUACGGGCUGCACCAGUAGGGAAUCUUCGGCAAUGGACGAAAGUCUGACCGAGCAACGCCGCGUGAGUGAAGAAGGUUUUCGGAUCGUAAAACUCUGUUGUUAGAGAAGAACAAGUAGGAGAAUAACUGCUCUUACCUUGACGGUAUCUAACCAGAAAGCCACGGCUAACUACGUGCCAGCAGCCGCGGUAAUACGUAGGUGGCAAGCGUUGUCCGGAUUUAUUGGGCGUAAAGCGAGCGCAGGCGGUCUUUUAAGUCUGAUGUGAAAGCCCUCGGCUCAACCGAGGAAGGUCAUUGGAAACUGGAGGACUUGAGUGCAGAAGAGGAGAGUGGAAUUCCAUGUGUAGCGGUGAAAUGCGUAGAUAUAUGGAGGAACACCAGUGGCGAAGGCGACUCUCUGGUCUGUAACUGACGCUGUGGCUCGAAAGCGUGGGGAGCAAACAGGAUUAGAUACCCUUGUAGUC
RNAcentral lists this ribosomal RNA (465 nucleotides) under uncultured bacterium. Its description in RNAcentral is "bacterial SSU rRNA". It matches the Rfam family "Bacterial small subunit ribosomal RNA", at positions 338 to 795 of the family's 1533-position model. The record is from RNAcentral.